Molecule: ribosomal RNA, 108 nt
Filed under: Heterocephalus glaber (naked mole-rat)
Lineage: Eukaryota; Metazoa; Chordata; Mammalia; Rodentia; Bathyergidae
Source: RNAcentral
GUCUAUGGCCAUAUCACCCUGAAUGCACCCGAUUUUAUCUGAUGUCAGAAGCUAAGCAGGGUCCGGAUGGAUUAGCACUUGGAUGGGAGACACUGUCUUUUAUACAGU